UACGUAGGCAGCGAGCGUUGUUCGGAGUUACUGGGCGUAAAGGGUGCGCAGGCGGUUGUGUGUGUCAGGUGUGAAAGCCCGGGGCUUAACCCCGGAAUUGCGCCUGAAACUACAUGACUAGAGCAUUGGAGAGGGUAGCGGAAUUCACGGUGUAGCAGUGAAAUGCGUAGAUAUCGUGAGGAACACCAGUGGCGAAGGCGGCUCACUGGCCCGAUACUGACGCUGAGGCACGAAAGCGUGGGGAGCAAACAGG
RNAcentral lists this ribosomal RNA (253 nucleotides) under uncultured bacterium. Its description in RNAcentral is "partial 16S ribosomal RNA". It matches the Rfam family "Bacterial small subunit ribosomal RNA", at positions 524 to 776 of the family's 1533-position model. The record is from RNAcentral.